RNAcentral lists this long non-coding RNA (1878 nucleotides) under Populus trichocarpa (black cottonwood). Its description in RNAcentral is "long non-coding RNA (PTRI_LNC004705)". Lineage: Eukaryota; Viridiplantae; Streptophyta; Magnoliopsida; Malpighiales; Salicaceae. The record is from RNAcentral.
GGAUCCAACAUCUUCUCGGGGAAUCAAGCGUCUCGGUCCGAUCUUUAAUUUGCUAGAUCAAGCAAAUCUCUACAAGGGUUUUCAUUUUGUUUCUUUUUUCCAUGUUCAUCACUCGCUAAAUAUAUAACUAGUUUGCUUUUAAUAUGUCAAACUUCUAUUAAGUACUACUUAUGGUAUUUUUAUGAUUUUAUAUAUUUUUGAUGAAACCAUGUUGAUGCUUUUUGGCUAUGUUUGUGUUUGUAAUUUUGAAUAGAUCUUAAUUAAUCAUUCUGAUCACAUCUCUAUCUACCUAUGUUUGUUUAAAUGUUUAAAAUUACAUCAACUUUUUUCUUCGAUUCUAGCUUGUUUCAUGAUAUCUAUGUAGGUGGAAUUUAUUGCUGCUCACAAAGAUAUAUGAUUUGCAGUAAGUGGCUUUCUCUUCUUGUUGAAACCAUCAACAAUCGCACACAGUGCAAACUUUCCAUUCUCAAUGACCUAUAAGCAAAAUUUUAACAUGUCAUGCUGCAAGCUCAUGGUACACAUAAUAAAUUAGGGUUUGCUUCUUUCAUGCAUGAAAGAUCAUUAUAGCUCCUUUCCUAACAUCCUUACUUGAUCUUCUUAAGGUCAUCUAUAUAUGGUAUUCAUCAGUUCUAUAACCAAGUCCAUGGGAGCUUAUAGUACGCAUAUGCCUAUGCCUUCAAUAUGUGUGUGUGCAUGUGUGUGUGUGUGUGUGUGUGUGAGAGAGAGAGAGAGAGAGAGAGAGAGAGAGAGUAUGCAUAUGCCUAUGCCUUCAAUAUGUGUGCGUGUGCGUGUGCGUGUGCGAGUGUGUGUGUGUGUGUGUGCGAGAGAGAGAGAGAGAGAGAGAGUCUGUGUGUAUGAUGUGCUUGUCUCUGUCUAUAGAUGUGCUAACAUUACAUAUGUCAACUAGAGUUAUAGCUUGUCCAGAAAUCUUGCAUUUCUAGCCUGCAUAAGGCCUUGGGGAUGUAUAUCUUUUUUUGUUUUUGUAUUUUUCAGUACUCAGUUGGAAAAUUAGGAGAAGAGCAUUGUUAAUCCAGGAACCAGGUACUGAUCAAUUUAUACAUCAUUCCCCGGUUUUCCAUGUCUGAGGAAUUUCAUUUUCCAUUUUGUCUCUUUAGCACAGGCAUUCUCUUCUCUAACAUUCUGACUUUGAUCUGAAAUUUCCUUGUACUCACAUGACACUUUUCACAUGGAAAAUGAUAUGUCCUAGCAGGAUUCUUCCAUAAUUAGAACAAACAAUCCACAGCCUUCGCGUGCAUUAACAGUUGCAGUCAAAUCUUCAAAAAUGCUUAGAGUCCACAUUGCAUCUCUUGAGAUUUAUUAAAAGACAACAGCUUGUUGAUGGCUGAUAUUGCUAAGUCUUUGCAUAAAAUUAGUAGCAGCAAAUAUCUAACAUAAAGAGAAAUAUUUGGAAUACAUAUAUACAUGCAUCCCUACAUAUGCAUAUAUGUAUUUUUCAGUACAUUUAAACAUAAGCACAAAACUUUCUUAACUAUCAUAGGUUGACCCACCAAGCCCCGCUAGCUUUAAUAAUAAUACUCGUUUGACCAAGCAAUAUGUAUAAAAGUUAAACAUUAUAAACAAUAUAAUUGGUAUGGUAUUGAUUAGUUUGACGCCAUUGAAGCCUGUUCAUUGAGAUGUCUACUCAAAGCUUCUGUACCUACGCACGCCAUGAUGCCUAUAGAGUCAACAAAAAAAAAGUGGCUUGCAUGUUGUUCUUCGAAUAUUAGGAAUCUAAGUGCUUGACAAAGAAUUUAGUGCUUUGCAAAACUAUAAUAUCAUCAGAGAACUUAUCUCCAAUAAGUAGACUGCAAGAGUUUCUGCAAAUUGAAACGAUGCGCGCAGUAGCUCCGUUCAUCAAAAUCUAGGCUUUAAUUCAUU